Molecule: long non-coding RNA, 2248 nt
Organism: Vigna radiata var. radiata (mung bean)
Lineage: Eukaryota; Viridiplantae; Streptophyta; Magnoliopsida; Fabales; Fabaceae
Exons: 6
Source: RefSeq, a predicted model, not a curated record
UAAACCUCCAAAAUUUCCGGCGGUUUAACCCGCCCCUAAAUAUUUUAAUGUAAUUCUCAAAAUAUCUAUCUGCCCCGCGGUUCAUUUCUUCUGCCAUAAUCAUUUCCUAAACCUUCACUCUGCCUUAUUCUCUCUGACCUUCGCUCUCUACCUUGGUCAUGAACCUUCGCUCUCUGCCUUCAUCCUCAAACCCUAUUUUCUCGCUCAUUGCCUUCGUUUCCUCGCUCCCUAAAACUUCACCAGAAUCAUUUUCCCCCAAAUUUCCUGCACCAUCUUCGUGUUAUUCUUCCCUUGCUUGGGCUGAGAAUUUUGUUCGUCGUCGAGGCGUCGAGGCAUCGAGGCAUCGUGGUGCUCUGUUGGCUUUUGAAUAAUCCUAUUCACUUUGAUCCCUUUCUCGCAGCUUCCAUUUGCAAUUCACGUUCUCUUUGAUCGGGCUUUUCUUGCUCCUCAGAUUCCCAAUUCCAAUCGCGUCUCGCUAGAUCAGAGGGGGAAUUUCUGAAAAUAUUCCAAUUCCACGUUUGGUUUCGGCUUUCUCAACUCAAAUGCGGGGUUCGGUGGGUCUUAGGGAUGAAUUAACUUAAUCACCUCGUUUCUAGCUGUGAGUUUUAAUUUCUUCUUCUUCUUCGGACCUGCCUCUGCUUCUUUUUUCUUUUUUUUUGUUUCUUUCCUUUCUCAGCUGAUGAACUGCAGUGAGAAGUGAAUGAGUAGUUGGGUGAAUGAAUUACAGUGUAAUAGAAUAUAAGAAAGAAAAUUGAAGUAGCUAGAGAGUCUAACUCUGUUGUUUGUUUGUGCCUAGAACGCAAUCCAGUAAUAAUAAUAAUGGUAAGAAAUUUGGGACGUAUUUGCCGCCGAGAAAGGAAGCGUCGUACGUUGAGUAGUGGCGGUGAAGGGUGUUGGCAGUUCCAACUUGAGAUUUUCUUCGAGAUUAUGAGAUUGGACAGAAAUAACUAUGUUGUUUUUAGCUUAGGUUAGCUUUAUCAGCUACCUGGUGAUGGAGAUGGCUUUUCAACAGAACUUAUUUUUUUCCUUUUUUCCUUUUCCAACUAGUAGUGUAGCAGCAGCUUCGUGAUGGAUUGAUUGAAAUCAAUGUUUUCAUAGAAAAGGACUGCCGCUGCAAUGCAAUACAAUGCAAUCUCUCUUUAACCCUCUUUAUUGAAUCAUCAAAUUAGUUUUUUUUAACCCUCUUUUUAAAAAUGUUAGUUUAGGGUUGAUGUAGAUGUGUAGCCGAGCUCACUCACUCACUAAUUAGAUUUCCUUUUAAGUUGUAGCUAGUUGUGGUGUGGAUUAGAUGGAGUAGGGUAAAGAGUAAAAUGAAAAAAUGUAGAAAUGAUUGAUAGUGGUGGAGACGUAUUUAUCCAAAAACAAAGAAGAGAAGAAGAAAGGAAUGAAAGAAAGAAGGGGCAGAGAUGGGACAGAGACAGAGAUGUUGGAGGAAUUGGUCUUGUAAAUUAGAGAAUCUGUAACUUUGAUAAGAGACUAGAAAAUGUCUUUGAGGAACUUAGCAACAAACCUGAUGGUAUGCCGCAGGAGAAGGAGAAAAUGCUCAUGGAUUCCAUGGAUAGGAUAAAAUCUGUUGAGUCUGACCUUGAAAAGACCAAGAGGGUACUACAUGCUACAGUGAUGAAGCAGCUUGAGAUUGCUAAUUUGCUGGAGAACUUGAAGAAAACAAAGUGCCGACAAAGAAGGCUAUUCUGUUGAACCAUUUAAACGUUCAGCAACACAGACACUUGGAACCACAGAAAAUAUUUCCAUCAAAGAGAAGACAGUGCAAGUUCACACCUAGAUUGGACCAACAAAAGCUGUGGCAAACGGAGGACACAUUUCAAGCAUAAUAAGUUUGGGUAGAUCAUACAUAGAAACACGAGGAAUCGAGAUGGUACUACACAGUCCACUUUCUUUUUAUAAAUAUGAUUAUAAUAAAAUAUAUAAUAUAGAUUUCCUUUCAAAUCUGAUUUGUAAUUUUUCCUAGUAAAUAAAUAGGUGUAAAGGUGUAAUUAUGCAUGGACGAGAUAUUCUCUUAAGUUUAGACAGUUUUGAGAAUAGAAAGAAAAUGAAAAAGUUUAUACUGCAGAAAGUUUAGUAAACCCCUCCCUUUUUUGUUGCAGCUAAAGGAUUUUGAAAAUAUUUUUAAGAAACAUUGGAAUGUUGAAGUCAUGAGAUGGAUCUGUAAUAGUAAUAGUCUAUUUUCCAUUUUGGUGCAUGUAAGACUGCCUUCAUUAUCACAAAUUUGCAAGNAUUUAUUGUGUUU